CAUUAUAGUACAACGGAGGGCACCCUGGGCUGUCGCUAACCUUUGAGAAAAGGACGUGCACGCUCGGAGUGCUCUCUCACAUCCAUCUCACACCCCUUUGUGCAUCACCGCGUGGGACCCCCCCUCUCUUUUGGCUUGUUCCGGAGGGGCGGGAGGUUUCACGUUUUUACACGAACAACCCAUUAAUGCAUGUGUAGAAUGUCUUACUUUUUGCGGUCAAACGCAAUCAAUACAACUUUCAACAACGGAUCUCUUGGCUCUCGCAUCGAUGAAGAACGCAGCGAAAUGCGAUACGUAAUGUGAAUUGCAGAAUUCAGUGAAUCAUCGAAUCUUUGAACGCACCUUGCGCCCCUUGGCAUUCCGAGGGGUGCACCCGUUUGAGUGCCGUGAACACCCUCAACCUUCUUGGUUUAUCGACCGGGGAAGGCUUGGACUUUGGAGGUUUUUGUUGCUGGCCUCCUUUGAAGCCAGCUCCUCCUAAAUGAAUUAGUGGGGUCCGCCGUGGCGAUCCUCGACGUGAUAAGUACGCUUCUACGUCUUGGGGGUUUCACCACUGUUACCUGCUUCCAACCGUCUUGGAACGAAGACGACGUUCGAGUUGCGACUCGACCUUAUAAACCUUGACCUCAAAUCGGGUGAGACUACCCGCUGAACUUAA
This 658-nucleotide ribosomal RNA is filed under the name uncultured Russula. Its description in RNAcentral is "eukaryotic LSU rRNA". The stretch from base 234 to 387 matches the Rfam family "5.8S ribosomal RNA". Lineage: Eukaryota; Fungi; Basidiomycota; Agaricomycetes; Russulales; Russulaceae. The record is from RNAcentral.